GGUUAAGCGACUAAGCGUACACGGUGGAUGCCCUGGCAGUCAGAGGCGAUGAAGGACGUGCUAAUCUGCGAUAAGCGUCGGUAAGGUGAUAUGAACCGUUAUAACCGGCGAUUUCCGAAUGGGGAAACCCAGUGUGUUUCGACACACU
This 148-nucleotide ribosomal RNA is filed under the name Escherichia coli. RNAcentral describes it as "partial 23S ribosomal RNA". It matches the Rfam family "Bacterial large subunit ribosomal RNA", at positions 1 to 149 of the family's 2925-position model. Lineage: Bacteria; Pseudomonadati; Pseudomonadota; Gammaproteobacteria; Enterobacterales; Enterobacteriaceae. The record is from RNAcentral. RNAcentral also lists the same sequence under 1 other name.